UGAGGAAUAUUGCGCAAUGGGGGAAACCCUGACGCAGCGACGCCGCGUGAGUGAUGAAGGCCUUCGGGUUGUAAAGCUCUGUCAGAGGGGAAGAAAGGAGAAGUAGCUAAUAUCUGCUUCUAUUGACGGUACCCUCGGAGGAAGCACCGGCUAACUCCGUGCCAGCAGCCGCGGUAAUACGGAGGGUGCAAGUGUUAUUCGGAUUUACUGGGCGUAAAGAGCACGUAGGCGGAUAGGUUAGUCAGAUGUGAAAGCCCGGAGCUUAACUCCGGAACUGCAUUUGAUACUACCUGUCUUGAGUAUGGUAGAGGGGGGUGGAAUUCCCGGUGUAGAGGUGAAAUUCGUAGAUAUCGGGAGGAACACCAGAGGCGAAGGCGACCCCCUGGGCCAUAACUGACGCUGAGGUGCGAAAGCGUGGGGAGCAAACAGG
Molecule: ribosomal RNA, 430 nt
Filed under: uncultured bacterium
Lineage: Bacteria
Description: bacterial SSU rRNA
Rfam family: Bacterial small subunit ribosomal RNA
Source: RNAcentral